UUUUUAAGGAAGAGGAGGAUGGUUGCAGACCUUCGCAUUUAUGCAAGAAGGUAAACUAUUAACUAAACUGUUAACCAAUAUUUUAACCAUAAUUGUAUGUGGUGUAUUGGCAAGCAAUGCAUGUUCCCAUUGUCUUUAUUUGUAAUUAAUGUUAGCUCAUGUAUGUCUUUCGGUGGAAUACAACAUGCAUUGACAAUGGCCGAAAGCCACAUUGUGUCAGAUAUACUGAGUCAUGAGUUUGAAAUUGGUAGGCUUAUCCAAACAAUUCAUUCAUGUGCAAUUGUUACUUUGCAUGUUUUUACCUUAUACUUAUUUACUGCUUGCUAAUGAUUAGCGUGCUAGCUAGCGGUUAGCGUGCUAGUUUAGCAUAAUUGGUAAACAUGUCUUUGAUUCAGAAUACAUGAUUGUGGUUAACCCAAUGUUACAUGCAUUGGAAAAUAAUAUUGCCAGUGUAACUUGAAUUGGUUUACAAGCUAGCUAGAAAAGCCAGUUCCUUUUCAUCUGUUUUGUCAAGUCAUAAGCAUGCAUGUGUGCCGAAAUAUUUAAAUAAAUCCCCUUAUUAAAUUAUUUUAUUUUAAGUUUUGGCAGUUUUUUUUAUCGCCCUUUCUUACCCAAAGAGAAAUAAGUUGCAAGUUAUUUUAGCUUUGCACGUAAAAGAGUGAAACACCACAUGUAACUGACAGUUCACCUGUAAGUCUAUGUCGUUGUUUUUUGUUUGAAUUGUUUACGUGUUCGCUAUGCGUGGGAAAUGAUAAGACAAGCGGAACUACGUAGCUAAUAACUGUUGUAACGGGGAUCCUUAUUGUAGCAACACACUUUUGGAGGGAAGGCAAUCCCGCGCUCUGUUAGCUAAUUUUCCAUGUCAUUGGGUGUAGUUCAUAAAGGUUGAAGUGUGUAUGUUAGGAUGGUAACGUUAUAAUAAUUAAGGAUAAAGUGUGAAUUCAUGCCAGGAAUAAUAAGGGUGAAGUUUGAUUUCCUCCCUUCUGUAAUAAGCAGCAAAUUAGUUAUUUUUCCUUUAUUCAUGUGUUUAAUCUGAUACAGUUACAGCAUCGGCUAAAUUGUUUAUGUAUGUAAGCACUUCAGAGUUAUACCAAGCUAAUAAGUCACUCGUAAGAUAAGUUUGUAAGAGUGUGCAUAAAUGUAUUUUCAUUUAUUUUAUAGUUCUCGCGGAAGGUGAUAAUUCUGUCAAGGAACGGUUGUGCUCGUGGUUACUGGAGGGAGCUACACCACAACAGGAAUAAGGAUUGUGGAAAGUGUAACAUUUGUUAGGACUGUGCCAAUUCAGAUGCCUUGCUUUAGCCAUAUCACUGUUUCUCGUUUAGUCCAUCCAUAAAAGCAUAUCAGCUUUAGUUGUAUCCAGGAACUUGUAUAAUGUGCUUAUGUUAUGCUUAUACUUGCUUUUUUCCUUGAAAGUCGUUUUAAAAAAGGAAAUUGUAAUAGAUGUUUGUAGGACCUCUAUCAGUCAAUGAUAACAGUCAUUGGUGUCCCCCAGCCCAUCCCCUUUGUUGUGUGCCGAACAAUCUUGUCAUUCUUUUAAGUGUCAACCAUUCUUUUUGAAAUUUGUCUUCCUUUACGAAUGCACUGCAGAGGCUAAGAAGACGCAUGGAAACUCUAAAAGAAACAUAAUUCAACUUGUAGGCCAGAUUUGAAAAGGAAAUAAUAAAUCCCGAAGCUCAGAUGUCAGACACCGAGGCUGCCAGUACCUCUGGGUCGAUAGUCCAUGUGUUGGAUGAUGCACUGCUGUUGAUCAGAACAGACAGCGUAUAUUACAGUUGACCAAAGCUAUACUUGGAUACAAGACUGAUGACUCAAUAACCAGUAUUGACAACAGUGAAGAUGGUUAUGUCCCAGGGCCAUCAGGAUCAUCAGAGGAAGGCAAUUUCUAUGAACAAAAUCUGACCGGAGAGAUGUCAGCGAUUCGGGCCAAACAGCCAAUAACCAAGGGAAAGGUGGGACAAAAGAGGCUCAUACGUUAAGCAUGUUUCCUGCUUCCAUCAGUCAGUGCAUUUUCACUCUGUAGUCAAAUCAAAUGUUAUUGGUCACAUACACAUGGUUAGCAGAUGUUUAUGCUAGUGUAGCAAAACUUUUUCAGAAAGUAUGGUGCUAGAACACCAUUAAUCAUUUCUGUGCACUUUGUCCUGUGCAUUUUGAAGUGGGUAGCAGUAGUGGAGUCUGAGAAAGCAGCUCUACAUGUUUCUCCAAUGUGAUCACAUGCCAGCAUUAGCAAUAGCUAAUGCCAUGGUGGCCUCAGCCUUUUUUGCAGAGUACAUUUUUUAAACCAUAAAUGGCAGCUCGUUUUGGGUGGAACUGUUACAAGGCUAUGUAUGCCUUUUGAGUAUGUUUUUGAGUUGUGUUAGAUUUGCGUCAAUUCGAAUCUGGUAUCAGGAUAAAUAUGACAAUGAGUCACCGAUUGUAUACUAUGUUUCACCAUGUAUUUUUUUAUUAGCUAAGCAAUAAGUGGUAAAUGCAAUUUUCGUAUAUACGGGCUCUCUGUCCCACCUCGCAGGGCAAACAGAGAACUGACUUGUUCCUGACAAAGAUAUUAUAAUAUACCCUGAUGACAGUAGUAGUUCCUUCUUCCGAGCCGGCCUGUCAGAGUAGAGACUGGGCGUGGUUUAAACUCACCCAGCCUAUCGUUGAUUGUUGUCGUACGAGCUGGUACCAGCCCCCGGGCGCUCCAGUUGAUAGAUGUAACUUGCUGUGUCGAGUAUCUAUGCGCUCAUUUCCUAGAUACCGUUAUCACAUAUCUAUCUGGUUUCUGUUAUUGUUAAGUUUGAGUUCAAACAAAAACAGUCUGUGGUUUGCUACACUACGUUCUGUAUGUGUCUGUUUUUAUGUUAUUCUGUAUUUUUCCAUCAUGAGAAAGGCCCAUGGCCCUGAAACUGUUAGCUAUGUUGCAUAACACCUACAUACAUCCACACAAGCCAACAGCAGAUAAUAUUCAAUCACAUAUAUGGUGACGGGCUAUAGUGCAUAACACAGAAUCCUCAUUGUUGUCAUGUGUUUUUUUACAUCACUAAGUUUGGCGUAGAAAUCAGCGUUACAAUACAUGCAGAAUGCCCGUGUAUCAUCUCCAAUAAACGGCUUCAACCAGCCUUUGAAUUCAGGGUUUGAUUCCCACUCCUUUCUGUAUUUUUGAGUAGAGUUUAGACUGAGACAUGAAGCUAGAUGUUUAGCUUACGUCACAGAGAGGCACACACACAGUGGACAAGGUGAGUAAGUGACUGAGGCUGUGUGAGUCAAAUGCAGUGAUUUAUUUUAGACACAGAACCUUUUACAUUUAAUCAGCCAGCGGCAG
This is a long non-coding RNA of Oncorhynchus kisutch (coho salmon), 3298 nucleotides long. RefSeq lists it as uncharacterized. The transcript has 4 exons. The record is from RefSeq and is a predicted model, not a curated record. NCBI's taxonomy places the organism in Eukaryota, Metazoa, Chordata, Actinopteri, Salmoniformes, Salmonidae.